This 596-nucleotide ribosomal RNA is filed under the name Aspergillus fumigatus. Its description in RNAcentral is "eukaryotic LSU rRNA". The stretch from base 215 to 368 matches the Rfam family "5.8S ribosomal RNA". Lineage: Eukaryota; Fungi; Ascomycota; Eurotiomycetes; Eurotiales; Aspergillaceae. The record is from RNAcentral.
UCCGUAGGUGAACCUGCGGAAGGAUCAUUACCGAGUGAGGGCCCUCUGGGUCCAACCUCCCACCCGUGUCUAUCGUACCUUGUUGCUUCGGCGGGCCCGCCGUUUCGACGGCCGCCGGGGAGGCCUUGCGCCCCCGGGCCCGCGCCCGCCGAAGACCCAACAUGAACGCUGUUCUGAAAGUAUGCAGUCUGAGUUGAUUAUCGUAAUCAGUUAAAACUUUCAACAACGGAUCUCUUGGUUCCGGCAUCGAUGAAGAACGCAGCGAAAUGCGAUAAGUAAUGUGAAUUGCAGAAUUCAGUGAAUCAUCGAGUCUUUGAACGCACAUUGCGCCCCCUGGUAUUCCGGGGGGCAUGCCUGUCCGAGCGUCAUUGCUGCCCUCAAGCACGGCUUGUGUGUUGGGCCCCCGUCCCCCUCUCCCGGGGGACGGGCCCGAAAGGCAGCGGCGGCACCGCGUCCGGUCCUCGAGCGUAUGGGGCUUUGUCACCUGCUCUGUAGGCCGGGCCGGCGCCAGCCGACACCCAACUUUAUUUUUCUAAGGUUGACCUCGGAUCAGGUAGGGAUACCCGCCGAACUUAAGCAUAUCAAUAAGCGGAGGA